RNAcentral lists this long non-coding RNA (399 nucleotides) under Phoenix dactylifera (date palm). RNAcentral describes it as "long non-coding RNA (PDAC_LNC021374)". Lineage: Eukaryota; Viridiplantae; Streptophyta; Magnoliopsida; Arecales; Arecaceae. The record is from RNAcentral.
UUGUUCAUAUGGUAGUUUACUAUAAACUAUUCAUAUGAAGCUAGAAGGAAUUGCGGGAUCAAAUCCGUUUGCAAUUCCUUGUGCAUGGUCAUGCCGAGCUUCUCAAGCUCCUCUAAGUCCUUUAUCAUGGUCAAACCAUGAUCAUGGACAGACUGCCCAUCACGCAUCUUAGCCUUGAAGAGCCUCUUGGACACUUCAAAACAUGCUGCGUGACUCUGUUCACCAUACAACUCUUGUAAGUGAUAUAAUAUGUCCCUGGCAAUCUUCAUGUUCUCAUGCUGGCAUUAAAAUUCAUUGGACAUGGAUGCCUUUGUGCAGCACCUAACUUUAUUGUCAUUGUUCGUCCACUUAGCAUGCGUCUUACGCUGAUCAGUGAUCAGACGGAUUGGUAACACGGAG